Long non-coding RNA from Carassius auratus (goldfish), 854 nucleotides. RefSeq lists it as uncharacterized. The record is from RefSeq and is a predicted model, not a curated record. Lineage: Eukaryota; Metazoa; Chordata; Actinopteri; Cypriniformes; Cyprinidae. The transcript has 3 exons.
UUUAGCUUUCUGACGUAUGAUUUAGUCCUUACAGAAACACCCUGACAGGAAAAUGUAAGAAGUGAUGGAUGAUUUUUAUUAGGCAGGUUUUUUUAGACUAUACAAACCACACCACAUGAGUGACUCACAUGGGUGAAUGGUUUCUCUCAAGUAUGAAGUCUCACGUGAAGCUCAAGACUCUCUUCCCACACUUCUCUCCGGCGUGGAUUCUCAUGUGUACCAUAAGAUUUGAUGAUUGUGUGAAGCUCUUCCCACACUGAUCACAUGUGAAUGGCUUCUCCCCAGUGUGAACACUCAUGUGAAGCACAAGGUUGUCUUUCCUUGAGAAACGCUUUCAACAUUAAGUGCAGCAAACACUAGCGCUCCCAGAUGGUCAAACACUGCCUGCUUGCAAAUGAUGUUCUCUUCUUUAGGAUGAAAAGGAGAAGAUCAGCAAUCAAUGGUAAAUGCACUUGCUCUUUCUUUUGGUUGUUUUCAUGCCUUAUCUCCUCCUUGCCACUGCUGCUGUGGAUUUUCUUGGCUCUUGUUGCUGCCCUCUACUGGAACAAAGUGGAUAUUGAAACCACAAGUUGUCAAAGCUGCAUUAUUUUUCUUAAAAACUUGUAUUUUACAACACUCAAAGCUUUUACCCAUUACCUCAUUAUUUCCCACUUGUUAUUUCACCGGCUUGUUGAUUCCAGAGAGAGUUUACGGAGAUCACCAGAUCUCGAAACGUGGGUCUGUGCUGAAGAGCUCUGGAUUCAAUUCUGUUCUCGAAGAGCCUACAGAUACAAACACAUAUUAUAUAUGAUAUUAGCUACAACCUGCUGCCUUAAUUCCUCAUCUGUAAAUCGCUUUGGAUGAAAGCAUCUGAU